This 490-nucleotide ribosomal RNA is filed under the name uncultured bacterium. RNAcentral's name for it is "partial 16S ribosomal RNA". It matches the Rfam family "Bacterial small subunit ribosomal RNA", at positions 30 to 507 of the family's 1533-position model. The record is from RNAcentral.
AUUGAACGCUGGCGGCAGGCCUAACACAUGCAAGUCGAAUGGUAACAGGAAACAGCUUGCUGUUUCGCUGACGAGUGGCGGACGGGUGAGUAAUGUCUGGGAAAUUGCCUGCUGGAGGGGGUUAACUACUGGAAACGGUAGCUAAUACCGCAUAACGUCGCAAGACCAAAGAGGGGGACCUUCGGGCAUCUUGCCAUCAGAUGUGCCCAGAUGGGAUUAGCUAGUAGGUGGGGUAACGGCUCACCUAGGCGACGAUCCCUAGCUGGUCUGAGAGGAUGACCAGCCACACUGGAACUGAGACACGGUCCAGACUCCGACGGGAGGCAGCAGUGGGGAAUAUUGCACAAUGGGCGCAAGCCUGAUGCAGCCAUGCCGCGUGUAUGAAGAAGGCCUUCGGGUUGUAAAGUACUUUCAGCGGGGAGGAAGGGAGUAAAGUUAAUACCUUUGCUCAUUGACGUUACCCGCAGAAGAAGCGCCGGCUAACUCCGUG